GUGGGGAAUCUUGCGCAAUGGGCGAAAGCCUGACGCAGCCAUGCCGCGUGAAUGAUGAAGGUCUUAGGAUUGUAAAAUUCUUUCACCGGGGACGAUAAUGACGGUACCCGGAGAAGAAGCCCCGGCUAACUUCGUGCCAGCAGCCGCGGUAAUACGAAGGGGGCUAGCGUUGCUCGGAAUUACUGGGCGUAAAGGGCGCGUAGGCGGACAGUUUAGUCAGAGGUGAAAGCCCAGGGCUCAACCUUGGAAUUGCCUUUGAUACUGGCUGGCUUGAGUACGGGAGGGGGGAGUGGAACUCCGAGUGUAGAGGUGAAAUUCGUAGAUAUUCGGAAGAACACCAGUGGCGAAGGCGACUCACUGGCCCAAUACUGACGCUGGGGCGCGAAAGCGUGGGGAGCAAACAGGAUUAGAAACCCUGGUAGGCC
This 425-nucleotide ribosomal RNA is filed under the name uncultured bacterium. RNAcentral describes it as "partial 16S ribosomal RNA". It matches the Rfam family "Bacterial small subunit ribosomal RNA", at positions 354 to 796 of the family's 1533-position model. The record is from RNAcentral.